This is a long non-coding RNA of Pseudophryne corroboree (corroboree frog), 725 nucleotides long. RefSeq lists it as uncharacterized. The record is from RefSeq and is a predicted model, not a curated record. NCBI's taxonomy places the organism in Eukaryota, Metazoa, Chordata, Amphibia, Anura, Myobatrachidae. The transcript is spliced from 5 exons.
UCAGGGUAACGUCUAGUUUCCCUUCCUCAGCUGCAAGCCGGAAAAGUAUACCAGCCGCCCGCCCGCCCUAGCUAUGAAUGUGGUCAUGCUGCUGACCUUUCUCUGGCCCCACACAGCAUUGCAUUCAGCGUUUCAGCCCGCUGACAGCACAGUGAUGGAUGGAAGCAGGACGGUGAGAGGAUCGGAGUAAUUAUUGACAGUCAGGAGGAGGAAGAGGAAGAGGAAGAGGAGAAGCCCUCUCCCCAACUUGGCCCUACACUGUCACAGGCCGUGGCGGAGGAGGAGGAGUACUCCCUGUCCCCCACCACACUGCACCCAUCAAGAGAGUGCAACAAAUUGUGGAGGAACUAACUCUUGAGGAUGAUGAGCGUACUGCUUUGCAAAUAAAACGAAUUCUCCAUUCCAAGUAUGACCUGGACAUAUCGGCCACCAGCAUCAGAAGGAUGCGACGGAAAAUGGGAUGGACCUUUGGCGCAACAAGGAUAUCUCCAAUGAUAAGAGAUGUGAAUAAAGAAAAGAGAGUGGAACAGGCACGGCGAUGGAUUGAGAGUGAUGAAACAUUUGAUGAUGUCAUUUUCACAGAUGAAUCGUCUGUUGCCCUUGAGCGGUUCUCCAGAAUGUCAUUCUGGAAACGUAACCAUAUCUCAUUAAAACCACGCCCAAAGCAUCCAUUGAAAGUCCAUGUAUGGGGAGGCAUAUCACGAUUAGGAGCUGGUCCCCUAUUA